AACAGGCUUAUCUCCCCCAAGAGUCCACAUCGACGGGGAGGUUUGGCACCUCGAUGUCGGCUCAUCACAUCCUGGGGCUGUAGUAGGUCCCAAGGGUUGGGCUGUUCGCCCAUUAAAGUGGUACGCGAGCUGGGUUCAGAACGUCGUGAGACAGUUCGGUCCCUAUCCGUCGCAGGCGUAGGAAAUUUGAGAAGACCUGUCCUUAGUACGAGAGGACCGGGAUGGACGUACCUCUGGUGUACCAGUUGUUCUGCCAAGGGCAUGGCUGGGUAGCUAUGUACGGAAUGGAUAAGCGCUGAAAGCAUCUAAGCGCGAAGCCAACUUCAAGAUAAGAUUUCCCGCCGCAAGGGUAAGACCCCAGAAAGACUAUCUGGUUGAUAGGUCGAAGGUGUAAGUGCAGCAAUGUAUUUAGCUUAUCGAUACUAAUAGGUCGAGGACUUGACCAAU
RNAcentral lists this ribosomal RNA (447 nucleotides) under Clostridioides difficile. Its description in RNAcentral is "partial 23S ribosomal RNA". It matches the Rfam family "Bacterial large subunit ribosomal RNA", at positions 2476 to 2925 of the family's 2925-position model. The record is from RNAcentral. Lineage: Bacteria; Bacillati; Bacillota; Clostridia; Peptostreptococcales; Peptostreptococcaceae.